GAGUUUGAUCCUGGCUCAGAUUGAACGCUGGCGGCAGGCUUAACACAUGCAAGUCGAACGGUAACAUGAGUGCUUGCACUUGAUGACGAGUGGCGGACGGGUGAGUAAGUAUGGGGAUCUGCCGAAUGGAGGGGGACAACAGUUGGAAACGACUGCUAAUACCGCAUAAUGUUGAGAGACCAAAGCAUGGGACCUUCGGGCCAUGCGCCAUUUGAUGAACCCAUAUGGGAUUAGCUGGUUGGUAGGGUAAUGGCUUACCAAGGCGACGAUCUCUAGCUGGUCUGAGAGGAUGACCAGCCACACUGGAACUGAGACACGGUCCAGACUCCUACGGGAGGCAGCAGUGGGGAAUAUUGCACAAUGGGGGGAACCCUGAUGCAGCCAUGCCGCGUGUAUGAAGAAGGCCUUCGGGUUGUAAAGUACUUUCGGUAAUGAGGAAGGUGGUGUAUCUAAUAGGUGCAUCAAUUGACGUUAAUUACAGAAGAAGCACCGGCUAACUCCGUGCCAGCAGCCGCGGUAAUACGGAGGGUGCGAGCGUUAAUCGGAAUGACUGGGCGUAAAGGGCAUGUAGGCGGAUAAUUAAGUUAGGUGUGAAAGCCCUGGGCUCAACCUAGGAAUUGCACUUAAAACUGGUUAACUAGAGUAUUGUAGAGGAAGGUAGAAUUCCACGUGUAGCGGUGAAAUGCGCAGAGAUGUGGAGGAAUACCGGUGGCGAAGGCGGCCUUCUGGACAGAUACUGACGCUGAGAUGUGAAAGCGUGGGGAGCAAACAGGAUUAGAUACCCUGGUAGUCCACGCUGUAAACGAUGUCGAUUUGGAGUUUGUUGCCUAGAGUGAUGGGCUCCGAAGCUAACGCGAUAAAUCGACCGCCUGGGGAGUACGGCCGCAUGGUUAAAACUCAAAUGAAUUGACGGGGGCCCGCACAAGCGGUGGAGCAUGUGGUUUAAUUCGAUGCAACGCGAAGAACCUUACCUGGUCUUGACAUCCACAGAAUCUUGCAGAGAUGCGGGAGUGCCUUCGGGAACUGUGAGACAGGUGCUGCAUGGCUGUCGUCAGCUCGUGUUGUGAAAUGUUGGGUUAAGUCCCGCAACGAGCGCAACCCUUAUCCUUUGUUGCCAGCGAUUCGGUCGGGAACUCAAGGGAGACUGCCGUUGAUAAAGCGGAGGAAGGUGGGGACGACGUCAAGUCAUCAUGGCCCUUACGACCAGGGCUACACACGUGCUACAAUGGCGUAUACAAAGGGAGGCGA
Molecule: ribosomal RNA, 1248 nt
Filed under: uncultured Gammaproteobacteria bacterium
Lineage: Bacteria; Pseudomonadati; Pseudomonadota; Gammaproteobacteria
Description: bacterial SSU rRNA
Rfam family: Bacterial small subunit ribosomal RNA
Source: RNAcentral